This is a long non-coding RNA of Suricata suricatta (meerkat), 822 nucleotides long. RefSeq lists it as uncharacterized. NCBI's taxonomy places the organism in Eukaryota, Metazoa, Chordata, Mammalia, Carnivora, Herpestidae. The transcript has 2 exons. The record is from RefSeq and is a predicted model, not a curated record.
CCGCCGCCGCCUCCGGGGCUCCGAAACCCACACGCGGCCCCCACCACAACCGCAGACUGGCGGAGGGGCGGGCAGGUCGAGGUCGGCGCAGCCUCCACCGCACGCCACACGUCAUGUCCACGGGGACCCCACACACGACAGGGACGCCACAGAACUGGCUGUCCAGGGGGAGACAAACCAGAAAGUGUGGAACAGAAGACGACCAGGGGCUCAAAGUCGGACAGGCUGCCCCCAGAGGAGGCAGCGUCUUAGCUGAGGCCUAGUGGAAGGCAUUGGAAAUCAGAGACCGUUCUGUCUGCGCUCAGCCCCAGUGCAGGACAGUCCCUCCACAGGACAAGGGCACCCAAGCCGUCCUGGGCGCUGGGUGACAUGUGAUGGCCAUGCCCACUCCAGUCUGAGUGACCUUCAGUUGACGUUAGCUCGUCACCUCCUGCUCCUACCCCACCAGUGGAGUCUGAAACUGGCCCCAGUCCAGCGCUCCUAGGGGGUGGCGCCUGCCCUGGGGAGCUGUCCAGGCAUCUCUGUGGCCCAGUGUCACCUCUGAGGUGCCAGUAGGUGUCCAGAGACACAACGAGGAUGGGCGGGCACAGGGAGAUGCCCGGGAGGGGCCGGAGACUCACUGUGCAGCGUCCUCCCAUCAGGAAACCUGGUUGCUCCCCUCCAUGGACACGAACCGUCCCCUGCGCUCACCUGUGUCCUCGGGCUGCUCCCCCCGCCCUCCUCGGAUUCUUGCAGCGAAAGCAGCCCCCAUAGGACGCUGCUCCAUGUGUGCAAACAAAACCCCAAAGGAGUAUUUCAAAAACAGAGAAAAGACACCUCUUA